RNAcentral lists this ribosomal RNA (443 nucleotides) under uncultured bacterium. RNAcentral describes it as "SSU rRNA". It matches the Rfam family "Bacterial small subunit ribosomal RNA", at positions 26 to 518 of the family's 1533-position model. The record is from RNAcentral.
AGAACGAACGCUGGCGGCAGGCUUAACACAUGCAAGUCGAGCGCCUCGCAAGAGGAGCGGCAGACGGGUGAGUAACGCGUGGGAAUCUACCCAUCUCUACGGAACAACUCCGGGAAACUGGAGCUAAUACCGUAUACGUCCUUCGGAGAAGAUUAUCGGAGAUGGAUGAGCCGCCGUUGGAGUUAGCUAGUUGGUGGGGUAAGUGGCCGUACCAAGGCGUCGAUCCAUAGCUGGUCUGAGAGGAUGAUCAGCCACACUGGGACUGAGACACGGCCCAGACUCCUACGGGAGGCAGCAGUGGGGAAUAUUGGACAAUGGGCGAAAGCCUGAUCCAGCCAUGCCGCGUGAGUGAUGAAGGCCCUAGGGUUGUAAAGCUCUUUCAACGGUGAAGAUAAUGACGGUAACCGUAGAAGAAGCCCGGCUAACUUCGUGUCAGCAGCCGC